GCAUUGAGAGUUGAAAGAAACGAGAGAGAUGAUGAAAAAAUAGAAAAUUCAUUCUACAGUUUCUGUGCUCCUCUCUCUCUCAUCAUGCCAGAGGACCAAAACAGAGAGAGAGGAUGCAAAAUUGUGCAUAGAAGGAAUACUAUAUCAGAUAAUAUAAAAUUGAAUGAGAGAUCUGGAACUAAAUUCCUUAGCCAAUUCAACCAAAGCAAACUAAAUUGCUUAGCAUAACAUGACGAACAGACCAAGACGGAGACAGCGACAGCAGAGAUGCAGCAGUCGGAAGGCAUAAAAUUGGCUCAAGGAUGGCUACAAUCUGCAGAGGUAUCGCCGGCGCGCUCGAACGGAAGUUUACGCAGUGGUGGGUGUGGUAAAAUGUUACUUUUAAAAUAAUAUUUAACCGGUUUGUAACCAGUUAUAUGUAAUUUAAUUAAUUUCUUUUAUUAAAUUAUAAUUAUUGUAAAUCAUUGAUUUAAAUUCUCUUUACAUCUUAUUGUCU
This 496-nucleotide long non-coding RNA is filed under the name Citrus sinensis (sweet orange). RNAcentral's name for it is "long non-coding RNA (CSIN_LNC004252)". The record is from RNAcentral. Lineage: Eukaryota; Viridiplantae; Streptophyta; Magnoliopsida; Sapindales; Rutaceae.